This 827-nucleotide ribosomal RNA is filed under the name uncultured bacterium. Its description in RNAcentral is "bacterial SSU rRNA". It matches the Rfam family "Bacterial small subunit ribosomal RNA", at positions 30 to 856 of the family's 1533-position model. The record is from RNAcentral.
UGAACGCUAGCGGCAGGCUUAACACAUGCAAGUCGAGGGGCAGCAUGUCCAGCAAUGGAUGAUGGCGACCGGCGGAAGGGUGCGUAACGCGUGAGCAACAUGCCCUAUACAGGGAGAUACACCAGGGAAACUUGGUCUAAUAUCCCAUAGCAUUCAUUGAAGGCAUCUUUAAUGAAUUAAAGCUUCGGUGGUAUAGGAUUGGCUCGCGUGACAUUAGCCAGAUGGUGAGGUAACGGCUCACCAUAGCAAUGAUGUCUAGGGGUUUUGAGAGGAAGGCCCCCCACACUGGAACUGAGACACGGUCCAGACUCCUACGGGAGGCAGCAGUGAGGAAUAUUGGACAAUGGAUGGAAAUCUGAUCCAGCCAUGCCGCGUGCAGGAAGACGGCCUUAUGGGUUGUAAACUGCUUUUAUACGGGAGCAAUAAGGGUUACGAGUAAUCCGAUGAGAGUACUGUAUGAAUAAGGAUCGGCUAACUCCGUGCCAGCAGCCGCGGUAAUACGGAGGAUCCGAGCGUUAUCCGGAAUUAUUGGGUUUAAAGGGUGCGUAGGCGGCCAUUUAAGUCAGCGGUGAAAUUUUGCAGCUUAACUGUAACAGUGCCGUUGAUACUGUUUGGCUAGGAUUUGGUUGUAGUGUGCGGAAUGUGUGGUGUAGCGGUGAAAUGCUUAGAUAUCACACAGAACACCGAUUGCGAAGGCAGCACACUAAGUCAUUAUUGACGCUGAGGCACGAAAGUGUGGGGAUCAAACAGGAUUAGAUACCCUGGUAGUCCACACUGUAAACGAUGAUAACUCGCUGUCGGCGAUACACAGUCGGGGCCAAGCGAAA